CGACUACUAGGGUUUCUAAUCCUGUUUGCUACCCACGCUUUCGUGCAUCAGCGUCAGUAAUGGUCCAGAAAGCCGUUUACACCGCCGGUGUUCCUCCUGAUAUCUACGCAUUUCACCGCUACACCAGGAAUUCCACUUUCCUCUCCCACACUCUAGUCCCGCAGUCUAUAGCGCACCCUCCCAGUUAAGCCGGGAGAUUUCACACCAUACUUACAGGACCGCCUACGCACCCUUUACGCCCAGUAACUCCGAACAACGCUUGCUGCCUACGUAUUACCGCGGCGGCUGGCAC
RNAcentral lists this ribosomal RNA (292 nucleotides) under uncultured Acidobacteriota bacterium. Its description in RNAcentral is "uncultured Acidobacteria bacterium partial 16S ribosomal RNA". Lineage: Bacteria; Pseudomonadati; Acidobacteriota. The record is from RNAcentral.